Molecule: ribosomal RNA, 496 nt
Filed under: uncultured bacterium
Lineage: Bacteria
Description: partial 16S ribosomal RNA
Rfam family: Bacterial small subunit ribosomal RNA
Source: RNAcentral
GAUGAACGCUGGCGGCGUGCCUAAUACAUGCAAGUCGAGCGAACGGACGAGAAGCUUGCUUCUCUGAUGUUAGCGGCGGACGGGUGAGUAACACGUGGAUAACCUACCUAUAAGACUGGGAUAACUUCGGGAAACCGUAGCUAAUACCGGAUAAUAUUUUGAACCGCAUGGUUCAAAAGUGAAAGACGGUCUUGCUGUCACUUAUAGAUGGAUCCGCGCUGCAUUAGCUAGUUGGUAAGGUAACGGCUUACCAAGGCAACGAUGCAUAGCCGACCUGAGAGGGUGAUCGGCACACUGGAACUGAGACACGGUCCAGACUCCUACGGGAGGCAGCAGUAGGGAAUCUUCCGCAAUGGGCGAAAGCCUGACGGAGCAACGCCGCGUGAGUGAUGAAGGUCUUCGGAUCGUAAAACUCUGUUAUUAGGGAAGAACAUAUGUGUAAGUAACUGUGCACAUCUUGACGGUACCUAAUCAGAAAGCCACGGCUAACUACGUG